This 542-nucleotide long non-coding RNA is filed under the name Actinidia chinensis (golden kiwifruit). Its description in RNAcentral is "long non-coding RNA (ACHI_LNC009525)". Lineage: Eukaryota; Viridiplantae; Streptophyta; Magnoliopsida; Ericales; Actinidiaceae. The record is from RNAcentral.
CGAAGACCCUCUCACACUUCCAUUAUCACCCUCAGGCUUACCAAAUUCGGCCUGCGAUUCGGCCAAUAGGGUUUUCUCUUUCUUCUUCUCGGACACUUCAUCGCUUUUCGUCUCGUAGGAAGAGUCGAAGGCUCGAGUCGAGAGGUUUCGGUGGGGGUGGGGAUUGGGGAGAGAGUGGGGAUUGUAGAGAGAAAAUCGGCAGGGGGGAGGAGAGAGAGAGGAGGGAGUGAGGGGAAUUGGAGGGAAAGAUUUGAAGAGAGUGACGGCGGAGAUGGUCCGGCGGUGGAUGGAGGUGAAGUGAGGCGUGUGCAGGAGCUUCGACAUUCCCUCUCUGAGCUCUCUCUUUCUCUGAGAGUGGAGAGAGAGAGAGAGACAGGGGGACGAGUGGAUGAACCCGGUACUGGAUUGUCUUCGGGGGCUAACUUAACGUCCACGUAGUCGUGAACUGGUGGUGGUGUGGGGAGCUUCUGAGUGCACCCCUACCUGCACCCCGGUUCUUUCUACACGCACCCAUGAAAUUCUCGCCUCUACCCUCCACUGGC